This 497-nucleotide ribosomal RNA is filed under the name uncultured bacterium. Its description in RNAcentral is "partial 16S ribosomal RNA". It matches the Rfam family "Bacterial small subunit ribosomal RNA", at positions 28 to 507 of the family's 1533-position model. The record is from RNAcentral.
GAUGAACGCUGGCGGCGUGCCUAAUACAUGCAAGUCGAGCGAACAGACGAGGAGCUUGCUCCUCUGACGUUAGCGGCGGACGGGUGAGUAACACGUGGAUAACCUACCUAUAAGACUGGGAUAACUUCGGGAAACCGGAGCUAAUACCGGAUAACAUGUUGAACCGCAUGGUUCAACAGUGAAAGACGGUCUUGCUGUCACUUAUAGAUGGAUCCGCGCCGCAUUAGCUAGUUGGUAAGGUAACGGCUUGCCAAGGCAACGAUGCGUAGCCGACCUGAGAGGGUGAUCGGCCACACUGGAACUGAGACACGGUCCAGACUCCUACGGGAGGCAGCAGUAGGGAAUCUUCCGCAAUGGGCGAAAGCCUGACGGAGCAACGCCGCGUGAGUGAAGAAGGUCUUCGGAUCGUAAAACUCUGUUAUUAGGGAAGAACAAAUGUGUAAGUAACUAUGCACGUCUUGACGGUACCUAAUCAGAAAGCCACGGCUAACUACGUG